GCCAGGCGCAGUGGCACGUGCCUGUAGUUCCAGUUACUCGGGAGGCUGAAGCUGGAGGAUCGCUUGAACCCAGGAGUUCUGGACUGUAGUGCGCUAUGCCAACCGGGUGUCUGCCCUAAGUUCAGCAUCAAUACGGUGACCUCCUGGGAGCUGGGGACCACCAGGUUGCCUAAGGAGGGGUGAACCAGCCCAGGUCAGAAACAGAGCAGGUCAAAACUCCCAUGCUGAUGAGUAAUGGGAUCCUGCCUGUGAAUAGCCACUUCUCUCCAGCCUGGGCAACAGAGCAAGAUCCCAUCUCU
Aotus nancymaae (Ma's night monkey) is the source of this 299-nucleotide unclassified non-coding RNA. It matches the Rfam family "Metazoan signal recognition particle RNA". From Rfam's summary of the family: The signal recognition particle (SRP) is a universally conserved ribonucleoprotein. It is involved in the co-translational targeting of proteins to membranes. NCBI's taxonomy places the organism in Eukaryota, Metazoa, Chordata, Mammalia, Primates, Aotidae. The record is from Ensembl.